AUCCUUUUGUAGUUCAUAAGCAUGACGAUUGGCUUUUCACUUUCAUGUGUGAGAUGUGCCUCACUCAAACCUUGUUGUAUUGUCAGCACGUUACCUAUCUGAUG
Pongo abelii (Sumatran orangutan) is the source of this 104-nucleotide small nucleolar RNA. The record is from Ensembl. NCBI's taxonomy places the organism in Eukaryota, Metazoa, Chordata, Mammalia, Primates, Hominidae.